Molecule: RNA transcript, 4770 nt
Organism: Myotis lucifugus (little brown bat)
Lineage: Eukaryota; Metazoa; Chordata; Mammalia; Chiroptera; Vespertilionidae
Gene: MYBPH
Gene name: myosin binding protein H
Exons: 12
Source: RefSeq, a predicted model, not a curated record
AGCCUCUUCAAACCCGCCUGCCUGGCUCCACCCGGCAGGGCUGAGAGCGUCCACUGGAACUCACUGUCAUGCAGCCCUCUCGCCUCCGCUCCUUGUUGAGAGAACCCUGUUUCUGUAAGGCCAGCAGGAAGGAGAAGGAGGGACGCCCCAAUCCUAACCCUUCAUCUGCCAGGGGAGAUGUAGGCGCCAGCACAAGGCCAGGCUGCAGAGCUGACUCAACUCUCCAGCUGGAAGGAGACACCAGGUUGCAUCACGCAUCCUCCCUCCGCCCAGGUCUAGAUCCAGCCUCCCCAUGGUCCUGCCAUUCCCAAGGGCUCACCGCCAUGGAGGGGCCCCUCCUAUCACCACAGCAACCCCGUCCCCUCAUCUCUCUCCUGGGACACACUGAGCCCUCAAUCCAGCAGGGCUCCUCAGCCAGGCUGGCCUGAGACAUGGGGUGGGCAGGAGGGGACGUGUGGGAUGACAUGCUGUGCAGCCAGAGAAAGUCCUCGAGGAUUCAUUCGUGGAGGCUCUGAUGUUUGGGCUCUGUGACUUGGCCAGUGGUUUGUGACGCUAGUUUAAGGUGCAGGGAAGGAAAUACCUAUUGGCUGCAUUGAAAUCUGAACCAGCUGGAGCUGGGCAGAUGCAACUGGUCUCAAGGUCACAGCUCAGCCAGAGGCACAGAAGGUGGGGACCUGGCCAGAGCCUCGGGGUACGUGACAUUUCCCCGCCGGCCAGUGGGGCCAAGCUUCCCUAAUCCCUGAAAGAAAUACAGGCCAUGCGUGCUUUCGCGUGUACAGGGUACCCCACCACACAGGGUCUUUGAAAGCCGGGGCUGUGAGCCCUCUGGGGCAGCCACCCCUCCACCCUGCCCCUGGGCCAGCCUUCCGCCGACUGGGACACGCCCGGCAGGGGUGACUCAGGGUCCUGCCGUUAGUCACGUUCCCUUAUAGCUGCAGACUCAGCGCAAGGGCUGGGGAUCGGUCUCCAGGGCCCACCCCUGCCCGGCAGGACCCUGAGUCGCCUGGCACCGGCCCCCAGGCCACUCCCCACAAGGACAGCCAGGGGAGAGGCAGCCACACGCGCGUGGCCUCACCCCGGGGACAGAGAAGACGGUGCCUGCGGCUGAGGACCUACAUAAGCUACACGUGUCCUGGACUUGACAUGGGGGCACCGUCCAGGCUAAAGCCUGCCUGGCCUGUGUUUCUUUCAUUUAAAGAAUUGCUUCAUUGUGAAAACUUGUGUAGCCGCCACCCAGGAAGGGAAACGAGACCUCAGAAAUGCUCCCCAAACUCCGCUCGGGGCAGCCACAUCCUGGCUUCCUCUGUGGUCUCGCCACCUGGGGACGCCCCUGGGAGCACAGAGCCGGCCACUGUCUGCGUCUGCAUUGGAUGUGGGUAGGGUGACACCGUGGUGCUUUGUGGGUGCAGACUCUCUCACAGUCGCCUACGCACCCCCCGCCGGGCAGCGCUCUCCGAGCUGCCAGCUGUGGCGCAUGAUCCUGUGGGGACGGUUCCUGCAGGGCUGUCUCCCGAGAGCCUCGGGCCGGCACCGCGGGGCGUGGAGUGUGCACUGUGCUUGGUCCCAUCUCACAUUUCCAAAGGGGAUUCCUCCGUCCACAGCCUAGUCCACACGCCCAGCAGCAGUAAGAGCCCUGGUCUCCGUCUCCCUGACCCUACUGUUGUCCAGAUUUAGAUGGUCACCAAUCUGACAUGUUAGGGAUGAACAAACCAACAACUACAAAUAUGUACCUGCCUCAUUUCCUCCACUGCCAAUGCCCACGCCAGGUUCUGCUUUGAAGCAUCUAGAAGGUUCUGAGUGCUGGCUUCCUCCAUGGUCCUUCCCACGCCUGCCUUACUGACAUGAACCACCCCAGGGCUGGGGGUCUGUCAGCGGCGCUGUGACAGGUGGGGCAACGGAGGCCCCAAGAGGGUCCUGCCAGCAUCUCAGAGAGGCAGUAACAGGGCCCUGGACCCCCUUCCUGGGAUCCCGUUGCUGAGAGACCCACCUUGGCACCCCAACUCCUCCCUCUCUAGGGCCCUCAGCAGCAUACAGCACAAGGGAGACCCCCGGGAAUGGGAGGGCAGGGGCACGGCUCCCAGGGGAGGCUAUUUUGGGCAGUCUGGGCCCCAGCCCCAGGCUCCGGGGCCUGGCCACACGUGACCCCCGGGAGGCCAAGGCGGCCUGAGCUGGGUUCACCCUCCAGAUGGAAGCUCUCGUUGCCACUGCCCUGACCCCUGGCACCGGCCACUGCCAGCGUCCUAUCUCACCCAUCUGCGCCUUCCUCCCAUCUGGGCACCAGCACCCUGGCUGCUGGGAGCCAACCCGGGUGAUGGACGACACAGUGCCCUCUCAAGGGACCCUCCGUCCCUCCCCCAGAGCUAUUCCUGGCCGAGGCGCCUCCCCACUCCCAGCCCCCACCUGGCCUGACCCCACAGCUGGGAACCAUUUGGCCGGGGGUGGGGCAGCCCUGCCUAUAUAAGCCUGGUCCUAGGUGUCCCAGGCACCCUGGAGGCCCAGACCCUCCACAGCUGACCUCUGCACACUCAGCCUGACCACAACCAGCCCGGCAAUGACAGCGACCUCGCAGGCCCCUGACUAUGGUCCGGAGGAGCCCGCCUCCGAGGUGCCCAAGGUGCCCACAGAGCCCUCAGGAGAAGGGGCAGCAUCGAAGGCCUCAGGGGAGGAGCAGGCUCCAGCAGCAACCUCUGAGGCUCCUGCCCCCGCAGCCUCGCAGGCCCCUGACCAUGGUCCGGAGGAGCCUGCCUCGGAGGUGCCCACGGAGCCCACGGAGCCCACGGAGCCCACGGAGCCCUCAGGAGAAGGGGCAGCAUCGGAGCUCACAGGGGAGGAGCAGGCUCCCACGGCAACCCCUGAGGCACCUGCCCCCGAAGCCACUAAACCUGCACCUCGAAGUGAAGACGUGCCCAGUGUCCCGCUGCAGCUGACCAUCGAGGACGUGAGCGACUGCUCGGUGACCGUGAGCUGGGAGCCUCCGGAGAGGCUGGGGAGUCAGGGCCUCCAGGGCUACCUGCUGGAGCUUCGCAAGGAGGGAGCCUCGGAAUGGGUGCCCGUGAACGCCCGGCCCAUGAUGGUGACCCAGCAGACCGUGCGGAAACUGGCCCCCGGAGACAAGUUCUUCCUGCGCGUGGCUGCCGUGAGCCCCGCGGGAGCCGGCCCGCCCGCGACGCUGGACCAGCCCAUCCACAUCCGGGAGAUCAUCGAGGCACCCAAGAUCCGUGUGCCCCGCCACCUGCGUCAGACCUACAUCCGCCAGGUGGGAGAGAUGGUCAACCUGCAGAUUCCCUUCCAGGGGAAUCCCAAGCCUCAAGUCUCGUGGACCCACAACGGCCAAGCUUUGGACAGCAAGAGAGUGAGCGUGCGCACCGGGGACCAGGACUCCAUCCUCUUCAUCCGCUCGGCCCAGCGCUCAGACUCAGGCUGCUAUGAGCUCACUGUGCGGCUGGAAACCCUGGAGGCCCGGGCAGCCAUCAACAUCCUGGUCAUUGAGAAGCCCAACCCGCCCAGCAGCAUCCGGCUAGUGGACGUCUGGGGCUGCAAUGUGGCCCUCGAGUGGACGCCGCCCCAGGACUCCGGCAACACUGAGCUUCUGGGCUACACGGUGCAGAAGGCGGACAAGAAGACAGAGCAAUGGUUCACCGUGCUGGAGCGCUACCAUCCGACCUCCUGCACCAUCUCCGACCUCAUCGUGGGCAACUCGUACUCCUUCCGGGUCUUUUCGGAAAACCUGUGUGGACUCAGUGACUCGCCCGCCAUCACCAAGGAGCUGGCCCACAUCCGGAAGAUAGAUAUUGUUGCCAAACUUAAAGGGUUUGUUGAGAGAGACUUCUCAGAAGCCCCUUCCUUCACCCAGCCCCUGGCUGAUCACACCACCACCUCCGGCUACAGCACCCAGCUCUCCUGCAGCGUGCGAGCGUCACCCAAGCCCAAGAUCAUCUGGUUGAAGAACAACAUGAACAUCCAGGGGGACCCCAAAUACCGCACCUUCUCUGAGCAAGGCGUCUACACCCUGGAGAUCCGGAAACCCAGCCCCUUUGAUUCCGGGGUCUACACCUGCAAGGCCGUCAACAUGCUGGGGGAGGCGUCUGUGGACUGCCGGCUGGAGGUCAAAGCCUUAGCCACACACUGAGGAGCACGGAGGAGGCUGUGCUGGAGACACAGGUGCUGUGGGCCUGAGGGGUCAGGGCCGCCAGGCCCAUAUCCGGCGCCAUGAGUCUCCAGACCCCUCUCUGUUGUGAUGGCGGACGGACAGCUCUGCUCCCUGGCCCCAGCCUCACCUCCCUCCACCCGAGGCUGCGGCCCAGUGCCCAGGAGUGGGCCUGGCAGCCCCCGGGACAGGAUGACUGGGCACAAGGCCCUGGACGGUGCCAAGAUUGCUGGGCCCUGCAAAGAGCUGCAUGCUGGGCAAGAACCAGUCCAAUAAAGGAGUGCCCGUCAGCGACUCCCCGGCCCAGCCCUCAGCAGGAGGCACAACUCUCUCGAGAGCAGACGGGUCUCCAUCAGGCCCAGGAGCAGACGGGUCUCCAUCAGGCCCAGGAGCAGCAGGGAAGGUGCUACUUAGGAGAGUCCCGGCCUGUCUGGGGGCAGGUGCACCUGCUGGGCUGGUCCUGGAUGACAGGUAGUCACACUCCAGCUUCCUCCUGGGGACGCUCAGUGCUGCCACCUGAUGGCUGGGUGAGGCCCACACCACCACUGCCUACUAGCGGCUGGGCUCCAAGCCCCCACCAGGCUCCAAAGGCUGGUGCAGAAUAAAGCGAAUGUUGGAAAUGA